Molecule: ribosomal RNA, 500 nt
Filed under: uncultured bacterium
Lineage: Bacteria
Description: partial 16S ribosomal RNA
Rfam family: Bacterial small subunit ribosomal RNA
Source: RNAcentral
AUUGAACGCUGGCGGAAUGCUUUACACAUGCAAGUCGAACGGCAGCACGGACUUCGGUCUGGUGGCGAGUGGCGAACGGGUGAGUAACAUAUCGGAACGUAUCCAAUAAUGGGGGAUAACGAGUCGAAAGAUUCGCUAAUACCGCGUACGCCCUACGGGGGAAAGCUGGGGACCUUCGGGCCUGGCGUUAAUGGAGCGGCCGAUAUCUGAUUAGCUAGUUGGUGAGGUAAAGGCUCACCAAGGCGACGAUCAGUAGCUGGUCUGAGAGGACGAACAGCCACGCUGGAAGUGAGACACGGUCCAGACGCCUACAGGAGGCAGCAGUGGGGAAUUUUGGACAAUGGGGGCAAGCCUGAUCCAGCCAUUCAGCGUGAUUGAAGAAGGCCUUCGGGGUGUAAAGCUCUUUCGCAAGGGAAGAAAACUUAGCCGAUAACAUUGGUUGAGGUUGACGGUACCUUGAUAAGAAGCACCGGCUAACUACGUGCCAGCCGCCGCCGUAA